GGCCCUACGGGAGGCAGCAGUGGGGAAUUUUGGACAAUGGGGGCAACCCUGAUCCAGCCAUGCCGCGUGAGUGAAGAAGGCCUUCGGGUUGUAAAGCUCUUUCGGCCGGGAAGAAAUCGUGUGGGCUAAUACCCUGCAUGGAUGACGGUACCGGAAUAAGAAGCACCGGCUAACUACGUGCCAGCAGCCGCGGUAAUACGUAGGGUGCGAGCGUUAAUCGGAAUUACUGGGCGUAAAGCGUGCGCAGGCGGUUUUGUAAGACAGGCGUGAAAUCCCCGGGCUCAACCUGGGAACUGCGCUUGUGACUGCAAGGCUAGAGUAUGGCAGAGGGGGGUGGAAUUCCACGUGUAGCAGUGAAAUGCGUAGAGAUGUGGAGGAACACCGAUGGCGAAGGCAGCCCCCUGGGUCGAUACUGACGCUCAUGCACGAAAGCGUGGGUAGCAAACAGGAUUAGAUACCCCUGUAGUCA
Molecule: ribosomal RNA, 469 nt
Filed under: uncultured Dechloromonas sp.
Lineage: Bacteria; Pseudomonadati; Pseudomonadota; Betaproteobacteria; Rhodocyclales; Azonexaceae
Description: bacterial SSU rRNA
Rfam family: Bacterial small subunit ribosomal RNA
Source: RNAcentral